CACGUCAGAGCGCUUUGCUGACGUGACAGCAAAUCGCGUCCACGAGGGGGCGAUUUGUUGCCACGUCAGCAAAGCGCUCUGACGUGG
Molecule: non-coding RNA, 87 nt
Organism: Gossypium raimondii (Peruvian cotton)
Lineage: Eukaryota; Viridiplantae; Streptophyta; Magnoliopsida; Malvales; Malvaceae
Source: Rfam